UACAGAGGUCCCGAGCGUUGUUCGGAUUCAUUGGGCGUAAAGGGUGCGUAGGUGGCGCCGUAAGUGGGGUGUGAAAUCCCGGGGCUUAACCCCGGGACUGCAUUCCAUACUGCGGUGCUUGAGGACUGGAGAGGAGACUGGAAUUUACGGUGUAGCAGUGAAAUGCGUAGAGAUCGUAAGGAAGACCAGUGGCGAAGGCGGGUCUCUGGACAGCUCCUGACACUGAGGCACGAAGGCCAGGGGAGCAAACGGG
RNAcentral lists this ribosomal RNA (253 nucleotides) under uncultured bacterium. RNAcentral's name for it is "partial 16S ribosomal RNA". It matches the Rfam family "Bacterial small subunit ribosomal RNA", at positions 524 to 776 of the family's 1533-position model. The record is from RNAcentral.